Molecule: ribosomal RNA, 497 nt
Filed under: uncultured bacterium
Lineage: Bacteria
Description: partial 16S ribosomal RNA
Rfam family: Bacterial small subunit ribosomal RNA
Source: RNAcentral
GAUGAACGCUGGCGGCGUGCCUAAUACAUGCAAGUCGAGCGAACAGACGAGGAGCUUGCUCCUCUGACGUUAGCGGCGGACGGGUGAGUAACACGUGGAUAACCUACCUAUAAGACUGGGAUAACUUCGGGAAACCGGAGCUAAUACCGGAUAAUAUAUUGAACCGCAUGGUUCAAUAGUGAAAGACGGCUUUGCUGUCACUUAUAGAUGGAUCCGCGCCGCAUUAGCUAGUUGGUAAGGUAACAGCUUACCAAGGCAACGAUGCGUAGCCGACCUGAGAGGGUGAUCGGCCACACUGGAACUGAGACACGGUCCAGACUCCUACGGGAGGCAGCAGUAGGGAAUCCUCCGCAAUGGGCGAAAGCCUGACGGAGCAACGCCGCGUGAGUGAUGAAGGUCUUCGGAUCGUAAAACUCUGUUAUUAGGGAAGAACAAAUGUGUAAGUAACUAUGCACGUCUUGACGGUACCUAAUCAGAAAGCCACGGCUAACUACGUG